GAUGAACGCUGGCGGCGUGCUUAACACAUGCAAGUCGAACGGAAAGGCCCCUUUGGGGGUACUCGAGUGGCGAACGGGUGAGUAACACGUGAGUAACCUGCCCUUGACUUCGGGAUAACUUCAGGAACCUGGGGCUAAUACCGGAUAGGAAUCCUUGCUGCAUGGUGGGGGUUGGAAAGCUUCGGCGGUUUUGGAUGGACUCGCGGCGUAUCAGCUUGUUGGUGGGGUAGUGGCUUACCAAGGCUUUGACGGGUAGCCGGCCUGAGAGGGCGACCGGCCACAUUGGGACUGAGAUACGGCCCAGACUCCUACGGGAGGCAGCAGUGGGGAAGAUUGCACAAUGGGCGGAAGCCUGAUGCAGCAACGCCGCGUGCGGGAUGACGGCCUUCGGGUUGUAAACCGCAUUCAGCAGGGGCGAAGCUUGUGGUGACGGUACCUGCAGAAGAAGCACCGGCUAACUACGUG
This 465-nucleotide ribosomal RNA is filed under the name uncultured bacterium. RNAcentral's name for it is "partial 16S ribosomal RNA". It matches the Rfam family "Bacterial small subunit ribosomal RNA", at positions 28 to 507 of the family's 1533-position model. The record is from RNAcentral.